GCCCGGAGGGGCUGUCCGCCGUAUUUGCCGGGGGAACCGGCCCAGGCCCGGAAGGGAGCAGGCUAACCCCGGACGUUCGGCGCUUCCAGGGGUGCG
This 96-nucleotide non-coding RNA is filed under the name Archaeoglobus veneficus SNP6. Lineage: Archaea; Methanobacteriati; Methanobacteriota; Archaeoglobi; Archaeoglobales; Archaeoglobaceae. The record is from RNAcentral.